CCUACGGGAGGCUGCAGUGGGGAAUAUUGCACAAUGGGCGCAAGCCUGAUGCAGCCAUGCCGCGUGUGUGAAGAAGGCCUUCGGGUUGUAAAGCACUUUCAGCGGGGAGGAAGGCGUUAAGGUUAAUAACCUUGGCGAUUGACGUUACCCGCAGAAGAAGCACCGGCUAACUCCGUGCCAGCAGCCGCGGUAAUACGGAGGGUGCAAGCGUUAAUCGGAAUUACUGGGCGUAAAGCGCACGCAGGCGGCCUGUCAAGUCGGAUGUGAAAUCCCCGGGCUCAACCUGGGAACUGCAUUCGAAACUGGCAGGCUAGAGUCGUGUAGAGGGGGGUAGAAUUCCAGGUGUAGCGGUGAAAUGCGUAGAGAUCUGGAGGAAUACCGGUGGCGAAGGCGGCCCCCUGGACAAAGACUGACGCUCAGGUGCGAAAGCGUGGGGAGCAAACAGGAUUAGAUACCCUUGUAGUC
This 465-nucleotide ribosomal RNA is filed under the name uncultured Klebsiella sp. RNAcentral describes it as "bacterial SSU rRNA". It matches the Rfam family "Bacterial small subunit ribosomal RNA", at positions 338 to 795 of the family's 1533-position model. The record is from RNAcentral. Lineage: Bacteria; Pseudomonadati; Pseudomonadota; Gammaproteobacteria; Enterobacterales; Enterobacteriaceae.